CAGCAGCCGCGGUAAUACGAAGGGUGCAAGCGUUACUCGGAAUUACUGGGCGUAAAGCGUGCGUAGGUGGUGGUUUAAGUCCGUUGUGAAAGCCCUGGGCUCAACCUGGGAAUUGCAGUGGAUACUGGGUCACUAGAGUGUGGUAGAGGAUAGUGGAAUUUCCGGUGUAGCAGUGAAAUGCGUAGAGAUCGGAAGGAACAUCUGUGGCGAAGGCGACUAUCUGGGCCAACACUGACACUGAGGCACGAAAGCGUGGGGAGCAAACAGGAUUAGAUACCCCUGUAGUCCCUGUCUCUUAUAC
Molecule: ribosomal RNA, 301 nt
Filed under: uncultured bacterium
Lineage: Bacteria
Description: partial 16S ribosomal RNA
Rfam family: Bacterial small subunit ribosomal RNA
Source: RNAcentral